ACAGAGGGAAGCAACAUCGCGAGGUGAAGCAAAUCCCAAAAAAGUGUCUCAGUUCAGAUUGUAGGCUGCAACUCGCCUACAUGAAGUCGGAAUUGCUAGUAAUCGCGGAUCAGCAUGCCGCGGUGAAUACGUUCCCGGGCCUUGUACACACCGCCCGUCACACCAUGAGAGCCGGUAACACCCGAAGUCAGUAGCCUAACCGCAAGGGGGGCGCUGCCGAAGGUGGGAUUGGUAAUUGGGGUGAAGUCGUAACAAGGUACC
RNAcentral lists this ribosomal RNA (261 nucleotides) under uncultured bacterium. RNAcentral describes it as "partial 16S ribosomal RNA". It matches the Rfam family "Bacterial small subunit ribosomal RNA", at positions 1239 to 1500 of the family's 1533-position model. The record is from RNAcentral.